Molecule: long non-coding RNA, 795 nt
Filed under: Marmota monax (woodchuck)
Lineage: Eukaryota; Metazoa; Chordata; Mammalia; Rodentia; Sciuridae
Source: RNAcentral
GCGCUGGACCCUCCGCGUGGAUGCGCGGUACAGUCCGCCGGCGUCCCGCUGAGCCCUUGCCUUUCGUUGCGUGACCCGCGUUGUGGGCGGGGAAGCCGUCUGGGCCGGGUCGCCCUCCGAGACCCUUCUAGGGGUGGAGGCUGAAGAUCCAGUUCCUCACGUGAUCCUCCGGAGUUGGCAGGAAAGGAAAGGAAGCUGAGAGGACCGGAGUCAGGGAGGUCAGCGACAAGCGGCUGGAGCAGCACUUCCACCGCUGGGCCAGUCGCACUCCGGUUGUAGGAACUCCCUAAUCCAGAGCUGCGUCAGAAUCGCUGCAGGGGCCUGGUGCAGAGGCCAGCCCCGGUGUCGCCCCAGCACCGAUCCGGCCGCCUGGCGCGUCCCCUCCAAGCAGCACAGCCCCAUAGUAAGGCCCCCGAGGCUUCCUCUUAUCUGCCAUUUCGCUGUAACCUUUUCAGAAGUACUAAUAACAAAAUUUCCUCUUUUCACCCUUACCAUUAGGAUGUUUAGUUUGUAGCAGAAAUCUCAGCCAAAAGUGGUGUAGAAAGUAAGAGUGUCAUUAUCUUACGUAACAAGAAGCCUGCGCAGAUCUAGGGUGGUCCCUUAACUAACUCAACAGGGGCCUUAAACCAGCUUCCUUGGUUCAUCCGCUCUGCCAAGUGGCCUCCCCCUCAGGAAUCCAUGGGAGAAGACCACAGAACUGGUCUGGGCUGUGGCCAGUGGCAAAAUACUUGCCCAGCGUGUGUGAGGCACUGGGUUCAAUCCUCAGCGCUACAUAAAAAUAAAGGUACUGUCCAU